CCUACGGGAGGCAGCAGUAGGGAAUAUUGGGCAAUGGAGGCAACUCUGACCCAGCCAUGCCGCGUGCAGGAUGAAGGCGUUAUGCGUUGUAAACUGCUUUUAUAUAGGAAGAAAUAGACCUUGCGAGGUAAGUUGACGGUACUAUAUGAAUAAGCACCGGCUAACUCCGUGCCAGCAGCCGCGGUAAUACGGAGGGUGCAAGCGUUGUCCGGAUUUAUUGGGUUUAAAGGGUGCGUAGGCGGUUUAUUAAGUCAGUGGUGAAAGACGGUCGCUCAACGAUUGCAGUGCCAUUGAUACUGGUAGACUUGAGUGGGAUUGAGGUAGCUGGAAUGGAUAGUGUAGCGGUGAAAUGCAUAGAUAUUAUCCAGAACACCAAUUGCGUAGGCAAGUUACUAAGUCUCAACUGACGCUGAGGCACGAAAGUGUGGGUAUCAAACAGGAUUAGAUACCCUGGUAGUCCACACUGUAAACGAUGAUAACUAACUGUUGGCUUUCGGGUCAGUGGUACAGAGAAAUCGUUAAGUUAUCCACCUGGGGAGUACGCCGGCAACGGUGAAACUCAAAUGAAUUGACGG
Molecule: ribosomal RNA, 575 nt
Filed under: uncultured bacterium
Lineage: Bacteria
Description: bacterial SSU rRNA
Rfam family: Bacterial small subunit ribosomal RNA
Source: RNAcentral